AACGCACAUUGCGCCCGCCGGCAUUCCGGCGGGCAUGCCUGUCCGAGCGUCAUUUCGACCCUCGGGCCCCCCCCCCGCGGGGGGGCCUGGUGUUGGGGGCCGGCCGCGCGCCGCCCCCGAAAUGCAGUGGCGACCCCGCCGCGGCCUCCCCUGCGCAGUAGCGCAGCCUCGCAGCGGAGCGCGCGGUGGCGGUCACGCCGUAAAAAAGACGCCCCAGCGGCACUCCUCGGGAGUUGACCUCGGAUCAGGCAGGAGUACCCGCUGAACUUAA
This 271-nucleotide unclassified non-coding RNA is filed under the name uncultured fungus. Its description in RNAcentral is "partial contains 5.8S ribosomal RNA, internal transcribed spacer 2, and large subunit ribosomal RNA". Lineage: Eukaryota; Fungi. The record is from RNAcentral.